This 81-nucleotide transfer RNA is filed under the name Ixodes scapularis (black-legged tick). It matches the Rfam family "tRNA". From Rfam's summary of the family: Transfer RNA (tRNA) molecules are approximately 80 nucleotides in length. The record is from Rfam by way of RNAcentral. Lineage: Eukaryota; Metazoa; Arthropoda; Arachnida; Ixodida; Ixodidae.
GCAGUCGUAGCCGAAUGGUUAAUCCGAUGGACUAGAAAUGCAUUGGGUUUCCCCGCACGGGUUCGAAUCCUGUCGACUGCG